This 36-nucleotide ribosomal RNA is filed under the name uncultured Acaulospora. RNAcentral describes it as "partial 28S ribosomal RNA". The record is from RNAcentral. Lineage: Eukaryota; Fungi; Glomeromycota; Glomeromycetes; Diversisporales; Acaulosporaceae.
AACCUCAAGUCAAGUGAGAAUACCCGCUGAGCUUAA